This 486-nucleotide ribosomal RNA is filed under the name uncultured bacterium. RNAcentral describes it as "bacterial SSU rRNA". It matches the Rfam family "Bacterial small subunit ribosomal RNA", at positions 26 to 507 of the family's 1533-position model. The record is from RNAcentral.
AGAUUGAACGCUGGCGGCAUGCUUUACACAUGCAAGUCGAACGGUAACAGGGGCUUCGGUCUGCUGACGAGUGGCGAACGGGUGAGUAAUGCGUCGGAACGUGCCGAGUAAUGGGGGAUAACGCAUCGAAAGGUGUGCUAAUACCGCAUACGCUCUGAGGAGGAAAGCUGGGGAUCGAAAGACCUGGCGUUAUUCGAGCGGCCGACGUCUGAUUAGCUAGUUGGUGAGGUAAAGGCUCACCAAGGCGACGAUCUGUAGCGGGUCUGAGAGGAUGAUCCGCCACACUGGAACUGAGACACGGUCCAGACUCCUACGGGAGGCAGCAGUGGGGAAUUUUGGACAAUGGGCGCAAGCCUGAUCCAGCCAUGCCGCGUGAGUGAAGAAGGCCUUCGGGUUGUAAAGCUCUUUCGGCCGGGAAGAAAUCGCACAGGUUAAUACCCUGUGUGGAUGACGGUACCGGAAUAAGAAGCACCGGCUAACUACGUG